This 812-nucleotide ribosomal RNA is filed under the name Macrococcoides caseolyticum. Its description in RNAcentral is "bacterial SSU rRNA". It matches the Rfam family "Bacterial small subunit ribosomal RNA", at positions 648 to 1460 of the family's 1533-position model. The record is from RNAcentral. Lineage: Bacteria; Bacillati; Bacillota; Bacilli; Caryophanales; Staphylococcaceae.
UACAAGAGAGAGAGUGUUACCACCUGUAGCAGCGGUUAUACGCAGAGAUAUGUGGAGCACACAGUGAAGACGCUCUCUGUUUGUUUCUUACACUGAGAUGCUAAACAGGGUGGAGCACACACAUUAUAUAUCCCGGUAGUACUCACCGUAUACGAUGAGUAGUAUAAGUGUGGAGUUUCGCCCCUCAGUGCUGCAGCAGCAAACAUUAAGCACACCGCCUGGGGAGUACGCUCCCAAGACUGUAACUCACAGAAGAAUGACGGCGGGGCCGCCCAAGCGGUGGAGCAUCAUGGUGUUAUUUUAAACAACGCGAAGAACCCUAUCACAUCUCUACAUCCUUUUUCAACUCUAUAGAUAUAGCUUUUUCCUUCGGGGGACAAAGUGACAGGUGGGGCAUGGUUGUCGUCAGCUCGUGUCGUGAGAUGUUGGGUUAAGUCCCGCAACGAGCGCAACCCUUAUUUUUAGUUGCCAUCAUUAGGUUGGGCACUCUAGAGAGACUGCCGGUGACAAACCGGAGGAAGGUGGGGAUGACGUCAAAUCAUCAUGCCCCUUAUGAUUUGGGCUACACACGUGCUACAAUGGAUAGUACAAAGGGCAGCAAAACCGCGAGGUCAAGCAAAUCUCAUAAAACCAUUCUCAGUUCGGAUUGUAGUCUGCAACUCGACUACAUGAAGCUGGAAUCGCUAGUAAUCGUAGAUCAGCAUGCUACGGUGAAUACGUUCCCGGGUCUUGUACACACCGCCCGUCACACCACGAGAGUUUGUAACACCCGAAGUCGGUGGAGUAACCUUUUAGGAGCCUAAGCCGCCGAA